RNAcentral lists this ribosomal RNA (482 nucleotides) under uncultured bacterium. RNAcentral's name for it is "partial 16S ribosomal RNA". It matches the Rfam family "Bacterial small subunit ribosomal RNA", at positions 30 to 507 of the family's 1533-position model. The record is from RNAcentral.
AUUGAACGCUGGCGGCAUGCUUUACACAUGCAAGUCGAACGGUAACAGGUCUUCGGAUUCUGACGCGUGGCGAACGGGUGAGUAAUACAUCGGAACGUGCCUAGUACUGGGGGAUAACUACUCGAAAGAGUAGCUAAUACCGCAUGAGAUCUACGGUUGAAAGCAGGGGACGUUCGUGCCUUGUGCUACUUGUGCGGCUGAUGGCCGAUGAGUUAGUUGGUGGGGUAAAGGCUUACCAAGCCUGCGAUCUGUAGCUGGUCUGAGAGGACGACCAGCCACACUGGGACUGAGACACGGCCCAGACUCCUACGGGAGGCAGCAGUGGGGAAUUUUGGACAAUGGGCGAAAGCCUGACCCAGCAAUGCCGCGUGCAGGAUGAAGGCCCUCGGGUUGUAAACUGCUUUUGUACGGAACGAACAGCUUGGGGCUAAUAUCCCCGGGUCAUGACGGUACCGUAAGAAUAAGCACCGGCUAACUACGUG